CGGACACGUAGGCAGCGGUCGAAGAUUGGUUGGAUUCCGCUGCCUAAACCUCCACGAGAAGAAGAAAAGUGCGUGAUCACACCGAAUGGAGAUGGGUCUUGGUUUGAGCCUAAUUUCCCAGGUGUUGGUCAUUUAAGACAAGUGAACAAAAUUUUAGGUAACAUAUGCCGUAUGCUUUGGCCUGGAAUGGUAGAACUUGUAUCUGGUGAACGGAUCCCUGCUACAUCUUGGAAUUAUUAUAGAUAUGGUGUCAACAUAACAUUCGGCAAUACCCAAAAGGCAGUUUGGGCUGAGUUUUGGAAAUACUACAAGUUGCCUGAGGAGGGAGCUUAUGAUGAUCAUGCCAGACGUGUGUUCCACCAUAACGCACACAUUGUGGUUAGAGAUAUGAUUUCUUAUGCCAGAAUUCAGGUUGUUGCUUCUUAUCUGGAAC
Panicum hallii is the source of this 433-nucleotide long non-coding RNA. RefSeq lists it as uncharacterized. The record is from RefSeq and is a predicted model, not a curated record. The transcript is spliced from 3 exons. NCBI's taxonomy places the organism in Eukaryota, Viridiplantae, Streptophyta, Magnoliopsida, Poales, Poaceae.